CAGGUAUACCACAUACCAUUGAAUGUCACCUCGCAACUGUCAUGAAGGCGCAGACGUAAAAUACGAAAACUUUUCAUAUCGAUCAAAAUAUUUAUCCGUGCUGUAAAAGGGUAAUAACCGAAUUUUGGCGUCGAUAAAAAUAAGAUAAAAGUACAUUGAAAGGCAAACGGACGAUAAGGCUAAACUUGAAGCAUAUGCGAAUGUGAAAGGAGGCUGAGGAAAGAAAAUUACAACGAUUCUGUCAAGAGAGGCAUGUGGAUGCCAAAAAAGUUUCCAACAAACAGCAUACAGUCGUGUACGUGAGCAUCAAGCCGCGUUUUCCGUCUUUGCUUGGCGUUUUUCCAUUUUUCCAUUGAAAAGCUGAAUUUGAAAGAAACGAAAAAGAAAAGAAAAUUGCCGCAAACUGCGAAAUGUCACGGCGGACAUGCAUGUGUGCCCUUAGCCGUGGCAUAUUUGUUCGUGUAUGACCCCACUCUCCUGAGAAUUUCCCUUAGUCAUUUAAUAUUCAAGCGUUGGCGAAAAGAAAGUCAAGGAGACUGCUA
Long non-coding RNA from Bactrocera latifrons, 542 nucleotides. RefSeq lists it as uncharacterized. The record is from RefSeq and is a predicted model, not a curated record. The transcript has 3 exons. NCBI's taxonomy places the organism in Eukaryota, Metazoa, Arthropoda, Insecta, Diptera, Tephritidae.